GUCCCCGCGUCCCCUUGGCAUCCCCCACCAAAAAAAGGAGGUGCCGGUGCCCCCCAGGAGAGAUGAGCGGGGUGCCUGUGGGAUGGGUACCAAAAGCUUCAGCACCAGCGCCUUAUAAGGACUCAGACAACAAGCGCCUGUGGUAAGGCUGAGGUUGGGCCCUCAGGACCCGCGGGCCUGGCCUGCACCGUGGCCUGCGAUGGAGGGAGUCCUUUAUUUCAUCUCCUUUUAUUUUCCUAGCCGGGGAUAAAGAGUACAAAAGUGCCCCAGGGAAGGGGCGUCCUCCGGAAUCUGGAGGUGGGCGGCCAGUGCUGGCGCAGACACCUGUAGCCAGCUUGGAUGGGGAAGGCUGGGAUGAAACCUAGUCCCGCCCCGUGCAGGGAGAGGGACCAGAGGGAUCCGGGGAAACCAGGAGGGUCUUAACGGCAAAAAUAGAUCCCGGUUCCCGUCCCCCAGGAUCCUGCCCCGCAUGUGUCGAACAGGUCGUGGAGCCUCCAGCCGGAAGGGCCCUGAGAGCCGAGGCCCUGAGACCCCAGCCCUGAGCCCUGUCCCUGGCGGGGGAAUCCCCAGCCUUGCGGUGCUGGGUGGGCCAGCGGUGCUUCUCUGCUGCUCAGCUCCGGGCGCCCAGUCCCGGCGCUGCUAGGCCCUGGUGUGCGGUCAGCUGCCCGGCCUCCCGUGGUGCUGUCCCUGGGUGACCAUGCCGGGGAGCGCCUCUCCCUGGCUCUGCCAUUGUGGGCUUGCUCGCUGAGUUGUUUUCAGCUCCGUGUCUGUGGUUCCUGGGAGAGGGUGCAUUUUGUUGUGGAUGACUUGGUUCAGAAACAGUGGGGACGUGGGCCAGCGCUGGGCAUCUCAGGUGGGUGCCCAGCGACUUCAGGAGGCUUGGUCUUCCUGGCCUUGGCGUGGACGGCGUCUCACGAAGGACACACACAUCACACCGAGAGCCUUGAGCGAAGGCGAGGUUGCUGCUUUUAAGGAGAAUGUGCGGUGCAGCGGUGACUCCGUGUGUCCCGUUUACCCCAGGUGUCCUCUGUGGAAGAUCCCUUCUCCGCGGACGCCGGACACAAACGUUUCAGCACCAGGCUAAGACACAGGGAGGGAAUGGAGAGAUUUUUGUUUUUUUAAAGCAAAACAUCAGGGAAAAAAGCCAGUUGAUUUCUAUCAGCAGCAGUUUGGCUAUUGCGUAACUCAGAG
RNAcentral lists this long non-coding RNA (1191 nucleotides) under Heterocephalus glaber (naked mole-rat). RNAcentral's name for it is "lncRNA (ENSHGLG00000040733.1)". The record is from RNAcentral. Lineage: Eukaryota; Metazoa; Chordata; Mammalia; Rodentia; Bathyergidae.